GUGCUUUGUGCCUUAGCAUGGCUUUUAUUUAUCCUUUCAACCUUGGUGUAUCUAAUCAUCUACAUCCAAAAAGACAGUAAGGUCCACUUUGAGCAGCUAUGAAGAGUGAUCUCUAAUAAAUAAAUUACUGUAAAAUAACAUAUAGAACUGCUCCUGUACCAAAAAAUAUUUUUUUACAAGAUGCAUAUACUGAUCAGGAAAAACACUUCUCAAUGAGGAAGGAAUUGAUUGAACUGGAAAUGUAUCUUUAUGAAUAAAAGUCUU
This is a long non-coding RNA of Vidua chalybeata, 264 nucleotides long. RefSeq lists it as uncharacterized. Lineage: Eukaryota; Metazoa; Chordata; Aves; Passeriformes; Viduidae. The record is from RefSeq and is a predicted model, not a curated record. The transcript is spliced from 3 exons.